This 409-nucleotide ribosomal RNA is filed under the name bacterium. Its description in RNAcentral is "partial 16S ribosomal RNA". It matches the Rfam family "Bacterial small subunit ribosomal RNA", at positions 355 to 776 of the family's 1533-position model. The record is from RNAcentral.
UGGGGAAUAUUGCACAAUGGGCGAAAGCCUGAUGCAGCGACGCCGCGUGAGGGAUGACGGCCUUCGGGUUGUAAACCUCUUUCAGCAGGGACGAAGCGCAAGUGACGGUACCUGCAGAAGAAGCACCGGCUAACUACGUGCCAGCAGCCGCGGUAAUACGUAGGGUGCAAGCGUUGUCCGGAAUUACUGGGCGUAAAGAGUUCGUAGGCGGUUUGUCGCGUCGUUUGUGAAAACCAGCAGCUCAACUGCUGGCUUGCAGGCGAUACAGGCAGACUUGAGUACUGCAGGGGAGACUGGAAUUCCUGGUGUAGCGGUGAAAUGCGCAGAUAUCAGGAGGAACACCGGUGGCGAAGGCGGGUCUCUGGGCAGUAACUGACGCUGAGGAACGAAAGCGUGGGUAGCGAACAGG